Molecule: ribosomal RNA, 164 nt
Filed under: Coffea brassii
Lineage: Eukaryota; Viridiplantae; Streptophyta; Magnoliopsida; Gentianales; Rubiaceae
Description: 5.8S ribosomal RNA
Rfam family: 5.8S ribosomal RNA
About the family: 5.8S ribosomal RNA (5.8S rRNA) is a component of the large subunit of the eukaryotic ribosome.
Source: RNAcentral
AAAACGACUCUCGGCAACGGAUAUCUCGGCUCUCGCAUCGAUGAAGAACGCAGCGAAAUGCGAUACUUGGUGUGAAUUGCAGAAUCCCGUGAACCAUUGAGUCUUUGAACGCAAGUUGCGCCCGAAGCCAUUAGGCCGAGGGCACGUCUGCCUGGGCGUCACGC